RNAcentral lists this long non-coding RNA (1505 nucleotides) under Helianthus annuus (common sunflower). RNAcentral's name for it is "hypothetical non coding rna". The record is from RNAcentral. Lineage: Eukaryota; Viridiplantae; Streptophyta; Magnoliopsida; Asterales; Asteraceae.
GAACACUUUCCUUUUUGAUGUCGCUCCCUCUCUUUUUACUUUUCUAUAAUUCUAAAUUUUUAUUUCGCCCAUAAUAAUAAUAAUAAAGCCGUGUCCUGUUUUAAGUAUUUUAACCCUUGAUCACUGAUACCCUGUCCGACUGAUGUAGGGCCCCGUAACGUAUGUCAAGGCUCUGUCUAAAUUCGUUGAGGUUCUGUCUCGUGACGUAUGGAUAAAGUGGAAUUGGGUUACUAUACUUAAUGUGAGUGCACUAUAUAUUUUAUUAAAUAACCCAGGAGUUGUACCAAGAUAUAUCAACCCUCCAAAAAUAUUUCUGACACCCCAAAUAUAAUUAGAAUACCCCUAUAUGUCUUAAAUUAUACCCCGUAUACGAAAACCGGCCCCGGAUAACCUUUAUUUCAUUAAAUAACAAAUAAAAUAAGUUUUUCCAGUCGCUCGCGGGCCGCGAAGGCAUAGCCUUCAGCUUAUGCGGACCGCGACAACUCAACAUCAGGAGAACACUCGGUGCUGCCACGUGUCGAUGACUCAGCACACUCAAACCGCCCUACUAUCUCUCGCGGGGCGCGUAAACCUUCUCUUCGUCUUACGUGGGCCACUACUAGAAAACUAGGCAAUUGUCACCAAAAUUUGCCACCAAAAAAAAUGAUAACAAUUUUAGCCACCAUUUUUCCACCAAAAUACAAAUUUAACCCAUUCACCAUGACACGGUAGCUAAGUGGUGGCAAAUUUUGCAACCUUUUAUUUUCGGUCACAAAUUAGUGAGAAAAGCCACAACUUUAUAAGCGGUGUCUGACUUGCCACCGUAAUAGUGGUGGCAACAUCUAAAAAUUUAGACGGAUUAAAUCUUUUUUAUUAGGCGGGCUGCCGCUAAAUUUUAAUUUAAAUUUCUUAUUGUGCGGCGUUAAUUUCUAAUUAACCGCUCCACAUUCUAGGGUUUUAUAGAAAAAAAAUCCCAAAUCAUAGUGAAGCAUCUUGGCGACUCCUCCUCCCCUCUGAAGAAUAGAUGCUUUGAGUUCAAUCACUACUAGUAUACAAGCAUCGAUCAUCAGGAUUUGUAAAUGAAGAAUGUAAUUGUUUGUUUUGGAGCAAUACACUGGUCAAUCCCUUGUCUUCUCCAAGGAUUGAAAGUUGAACUUGGUUAUCAAGGAGCUUGUUAAGGAAAAAGAUGAAGAAAAAGAAAGCUUAAAUGGAAUUAUUGUGAGGUUGUUGGCUAAAAAGAAAAGGAUAAGGUGGAUAAAGAUGUUAUGCUCAAUAGUCAAUAGGAUGUCACAAAUUGAAGCUAUGAUAACAGCUAUGCUUCGAAGAUAGGCUGUAAACUAAGUUUUGAAUGUUUCAAUAUUAGGAUAAUUUUGGUAUAUAAUGAUUUAGUUUGUAUUUUUAUUAGAAUGUUUAUAUUUUGAAACAGGAAAAACUGAAAUACAUAUGUUUUAUAUAAUAUUGGGAUUUUGUAAUUUUGUUGGAUUGUUUUAUAUAGUUUUGUAAUUUUAUUGAAUUGUAAUUUUGAC